CUCUUCUCCUCAUCUCUGCGCUGUGCGAGUUUGGAGCUCCCAGAAGACAUUAAUGAUCUGUGCAAAGAUGAUGAUGGGGACUACCUGGCUGAGCGGGGCAUCGAUGAAGUUUACCAUCUGUGGUGUCUGGCGGGUGGAGACCUGGAGAAGGAGCUGACCAACAAGGAAAUCAUCCAGUCCAAACCUCCCAUCUGCACUCUGCCAAAUUUUGUUGUGGAGGAUGGGGAGUCGUUCGGGCAGGGAAGAGAUCGGAGCUUUUUGCUGGAUGACACCACGGUGACGCUGUCUUUGUGUCAGCUCAGAAAUAGACUUAAGGAUGUAGCUGGUGAGGCUUAUUAUCCCCUUCUUGAAGACGAACAGUCGACUUUGCCCCAAUCCUGCAGCAGCAAUGAGUUGUCGUCCACCGUCACACUGCCACUCAUCAUCCGCGAGAGAGACACGGAGUAUCAGCUCAUCCGCAUCAUCCUCUUUGACAGGCUGCUCAAGGUC
Molecule: long non-coding RNA, 489 nt
Organism: Oryzias melastigma (Indian medaka)
Lineage: Eukaryota; Metazoa; Chordata; Actinopteri; Beloniformes; Adrianichthyidae
Exons: 5
Source: RefSeq, a predicted model, not a curated record